This 1090-nucleotide long non-coding RNA is filed under the name Amborella trichopoda. RNAcentral's name for it is "long non-coding RNA (ATRI_LNC004194)". Lineage: Eukaryota; Viridiplantae; Streptophyta; Magnoliopsida; Amborellales; Amborellaceae. The record is from RNAcentral.
UUAUUUCUUUUUUCUUCUAUUAUUGAUGGAAAGGUGGAUAUGCAAGUGUUAAAUGUUACACUGUGUGGCAAGAAUGUAAGUGUGUAUGGAUGCGCAAGAUAAACUGAUAAACCCUGAUAAAGUUGUCUAGAGCAUUUAUAAGUUGUUUGGUGGCUGCCUACAGAGGUCUAUCAACUUAUUUCUUCCCAAACGGAAUUUUAUCUUUGCACUGGCUAAUGGCGCUCUAACUUUUCACUUCUCUCGUUCCUUCAACUAACCACCGAAAAAAAGACCUUCUCUCUCUCUCUCUCUCGUUAUCUUCAUCUCAAAUUUUCUGCUACCAUUGGCCACGUUUAGCAUCAAAGCUGCAGAGGUCAUCAUUUCCUCCUUGAAAGCAUACUUUGCAGAGACGUCUUCAGCUAGAGCCUUUAGGGCAUCUAAGACACUGCACAAACCCUCAUCUAUUUGAGCUUCUGAUAUCAGAACCUCUGAGAAGUAUUUGACAAAAACAAUCAGGUGAUAUUUAUUCUUCUUCAAAACAGCUGAACCAGAGCAGCGAUGGUUCCCAUCAAAGCUCACUGUCUCAGGCUAUAGCGGCAAGAAAAUUCCAGAUGAACAUAGUUGUGUCGAAAGCUCUUGGGACCUCAAGGCCACAUCUUAGCAUAGGCAGAAGCUAUCAGUUCUGAUUUUCUUCAAUGUAAUGCUUUGAGUUUCUGCUUUUCUUUGUGUUUUCUCCCAAGUGCUGUGUCCAUUAAUGGAGAAGUUUGUGCUUUUGUUUUCUCUGCAUGUUAUGCUUUUUGUUGUGAUUUUGGAUGAUUAAUAGUGAACCUUUGAAUUUUGGUUUUCUUUUGCUUUUUGCUCUGAUUUUGUACCAGUUGCUUGUUUGUCUUUUCUCUGUUCUUUUGCCCUAAUCUAGUGGUGGUUUCUUUUGCCAUGUUUGCUAAUGUCUAUCAUCUACAAUAUCUUUCAUGGAUAUUUCUUUGGGGAGUACAUCAAAAUACUCAUAAACUAUGAACUAUUUAACAUUUUAACUAUAUCAUUUGACUUUAUUUGAAAAUACCCAUGAAAAGAUACAUGAUCAUGAGUUGGAAUAGUUACAAAUGUUAAAAAU